CCUACGGGAGGCAGCAGUGAGGAAUAUUGGUCAAUGGGCUUACGCCUGAACCAGCCAAGUCGCGUGAGGGAAGACUGCCCUAUGGGUUGUAAACCUCUUUUGUCAGGGAGCAAUUGGCGCUACGUGUAGCGUUAUCGAGAGUACCUGAAGAAAAAGCAUCGGCUAACUCCGUGCCAGCAGCCGCGGUAAUACGGAGGAUGCGAGCGUUAUCCGGAUUUACUGGGUGUAAAGGGCGUGCAGCCGGGAAAACAAGUCAGAUGUGAAAUCCCGCGGCUCAACCGCGGAACUGCAUUUGAAACUGUUUGUCUUGAGUACCGGAGAGGUCAUCGGAAUUCCUUGUGUAGCGGUGAAAUGCGUAGAUAUAAGGAAGAACACCAGUGGCGAAGGCGGAUGACUGGACGGCAACUGACGGUGAGGCGCGAAAGCGUGGGGAGCAAACAGGAUUAGAUACCCCUGUAGUC
Molecule: ribosomal RNA, 461 nt
Filed under: uncultured bacterium
Lineage: Bacteria
Description: partial 16S ribosomal RNA
Rfam family: Bacterial small subunit ribosomal RNA
Source: RNAcentral